UUUUAUGGAGAGUUUGAUCCUGGCUCAGGAUGAACGCUGGCGGCGUGCCUAAUACAUGCAAGUCGAGCGAACGGACGAGAAGCUUGCUUCUCUGAUGUUAGCGGCGGACGGGUGAGUAACACGUGGAUAACCUACCUAUAAGACUGGGAUAACUUCGGGAAACCGGAGCUAAUACCGGAUAAUAUUUUGAACCGCAUGGUUCAAAAGUGAAAGACGGUCUUGCUGUCACUUAUAGAUGGAUCCGCGCUGCAUUAGCUAGUUGGUAAGGUAACGGCUUACCAAGGCAACGAUGCAUAGCCGACCUGAGAGGGUGAUCGGCCACACUGGAACUGAGACACGGUCCAGACUCCUACGGGAGGCAGCAGUAGGGAAUCUUCCGCAAUGGGCGAAAGCCUGACGGAGCAACGCCGCGUGAGUGAUGAAGGUCUUCGGAUCGUAAAACUCUGUUAUUAGGGAAGAACAUAUGUGUAAGUAACUGUGCACAUCUUGACGGUACCUAAUCAGAAAGCCACGGCUAACUACGUGCCAGCAGCCGCGGUAAUACGUAGGUGGCAAGCGUUAUCCGGAAUUAUUGGGCGUAAAGCGCGCGUAGGCGGUUUUUUAAGUCUGAUGUGAAAGCCCACGGCUCAACCGUGGAGGGUCAUUGGAAACUGGAAAACUUGAGUGCAGAAGAGGAAAGUGGAAUUCCAUGUGUAGCGGUGAAAUGCGCAGAGAUAUGGAGGAACACCAGUGGCGAAGGCGACUUUCUGGUCUGUAACUGACGCUGAUGUGCGAAAGCGUGGGGAUCAAACAGGAUUAGAUACCCUGGUAGUCCACGCCGUAAACGAUGAGUGCUAAGUGUUAGGGGGUUUCCGCCCCUUAGUGCUGCAGCUAACGCAUUAAGCACUCCGCCUGGGGAGUACGACCGCAAGGUUGAAACUCAAAGGAAUUGACGGGGACCCGCACAAGCGGUGGAGCAUGUGGUUUAAUUCGAAGCAACGCGAAGAACCUUACCAAAUCUUGACAUCCUUUGACAACUCUAGAGAUAGAGCCUUCCCCUUCGGGGGACAAAGUGACAGGUGGUGCAUGGUUGUCGUCAGCUCGUGUCGUGAGAUGUUGGGUUAAGUCCCGCAACGAGCGCAACCCUUAAGCUUAGUUGCCAUCAUUAAGUUGGGCACUCUAAGUUGACUGCCGGUGACAAACCGGAGGAAGGUGGGGAUGACGUCAAAUCAUCAUGCCCCUUAUGAUUUGGGCUACACACGUGCUACAAUGGACAAUACAAAGGGCAGCGAAACCGCGAGGUCAAGCAAAUCCCAUAAAGUUGUUCUCAGUUCGGAUUGUAGUCUGCAACUCGACUACAUGAAGCUGGAAUCGCUAGUAAUCGUAGAUCAGCAUGCUACGGUGAAUACGUUCCCGGGUCUUGUACACACCGCCCGUCACACCACGAGAGUUUUGUAACACCCGAAGCCGGUGGAGUAACCUUUUAGGAGCUAGCCGUCGAAGGUGGGACAAAUGAUUGGGGUGAAGUCGUAACAAGGUAGCCGUAUCGGAAGGUGCGGCUGGAUCACCUCCUUUCUAA
RNAcentral lists this ribosomal RNA (1558 nucleotides) under Staphylococcus aureus. RNAcentral describes it as "16S ribosomal RNA". It matches the Rfam family "Bacterial small subunit ribosomal RNA". Lineage: Bacteria; Bacillati; Bacillota; Bacilli; Caryophanales; Staphylococcaceae. The record is from RNAcentral.